CUGUAUUCUACAGUGCUCGUGUCUCCAGUGUGUGUAGGGACUGGAGCUGCGGCCCUGUUGGGAUAAC
This 67-nucleotide microRNA precursor is filed under the name Calypte anna (Anna's hummingbird). RNAcentral describes it as "mir-139 microRNA precursor family". It matches the Rfam family "mir-139 microRNA precursor family". Lineage: Eukaryota; Metazoa; Chordata; Aves; Apodiformes; Trochilidae. The record is from Rfam by way of RNAcentral.